This 102-nucleotide small nuclear RNA is filed under the name Chinchilla lanigera (long-tailed chinchilla). The record is from RNAcentral. Lineage: Eukaryota; Metazoa; Chordata; Mammalia; Rodentia; Chinchillidae.
GUGCACACUUUGGCAGCAAAUAUACUAAAAUUGGAACAAUUCAGAGAUUAUCUUGGUCUCUGCUCAAGGAUGACACAAAUUUAUAAAGUUUUCCAUAUUUUU